GAUGGACUCGCGUCCAAUUAGCUAGUUGGUGAGGUAACGGCCCACCAAGGCGACGAUUGGUAGCCGGACUGAGAGGUUGAACGGCCACAUUGGGACUGAGACACGGCCCAGACUCCUACGGGAGGCAGCAGUGGGGGAUAUUGCACAAUGGGGGAAACCCUGAUGCAGCGACGCCGCGUGGAGGAAGAAGGUUUUCGGAUUGUAAACUCCUGUCGUUAGGGACGAUAAUGACGGUACCUAACAAGAAAGCACCGGCUAACUACGUGCCAGCAGCCGCGGUAAAACGUAGGGUGCAAGCGUUGUCCGGAAUUACUGGGUGUAAAGGGAGCGCAGGCGGGAAGACAAGUUGGAAGUGAAAACCAUGGGCUCAACCCAUGAAUUGCUUUCAAAACUGUUUUUCUUGAGUAGUGCAGAGGUAGAUGGAAUUCCCGGUGUAGCGGUGGAAUGCGUAGAUAUCGGGAGGAACACCAGUGGCGGAGGCGGUCUACUGGGCACCAACUGACGCUGAGGCUCGAAAGCAUGGGUAGCAAACAGGAUUAGAUACCCUGGUAGUCCAUGCCGUAAAC
This 566-nucleotide ribosomal RNA is filed under the name uncultured bacterium. Its description in RNAcentral is "bacterial SSU rRNA". It matches the Rfam family "Bacterial small subunit ribosomal RNA", at positions 224 to 807 of the family's 1533-position model. The record is from RNAcentral.